UCGGGAAUUUUGGGCAAUGGGCGAAAGCCUGACCCAGCAACGCCGCGUGAGGGAUGAAGUAUUUCGGUAUGUAAACAUCGAAAGAAUGGGAAGAAUAAAUGACGGUACCAUUUAUAAGCUCCGGCUAACUACGUGCCAGCAGCCGCGGUAAUACGUAGGGAGCAAGCGUUGUUCGGAUUUACUGGGCGUAAAGGGCGCGUAGGCGGCGCGGUAAGUCACUUGUGAAAUCUCUGAGCUUAACUCAGAACGGCCAAGUGAUACUGCUGUGCUAGAGUGCGGAAGAGGCAACCGGAAUUCUUGGUGUAGCGGUGAAAUGCGUAGAUAUCAAAAGGAACACCUGAGGCGAAGGCGGGUUGCUGGGCCGACACUGACGCUGAUGCGCGAAAGCCAGGGGAGCAAACG
This 402-nucleotide ribosomal RNA is filed under the name uncultured bacterium. Its description in RNAcentral is "bacterial SSU rRNA". It matches the Rfam family "Bacterial small subunit ribosomal RNA", at positions 355 to 774 of the family's 1533-position model. The record is from RNAcentral.